AAAUUGUGACCCAUGUUAGUAAUGACAUGCGGAAAAAUUGGAUGAAUUGCUGGAAAGCUUCGUUUCAUUUGAAACAUGCCAAUCAGCAGCCAAGCCUGAUAAGCGUAUCAGGAAGGUUCAGAGACUAGAUGGUUCAGCACGAUCUUGCUGUGUAAUACAUCACUAGCGUCCGACACCCCACCGAUUUAUCGAGGGUGAUGAUAUAGUCCGAGCCAAUACGAAAGUA
Molecule: non-coding RNA, 226 nt
Filed under: uncultured Alteromonas sp.
Lineage: Bacteria; Pseudomonadati; Pseudomonadota; Gammaproteobacteria; Alteromonadales; Alteromonadaceae
Description: Group I catalytic intron
Rfam family: Group I catalytic intron
About the family: Group I catalytic introns are large self-splicing ribozymes. They catalyse their own excision from mRNA, tRNA and rRNA precursors in a wide range of organisms.
Source: RNAcentral